Bombyx mori (domestic silkworm) is the source of this 84-nucleotide non-coding RNA. The record is from Rfam. NCBI's taxonomy places the organism in Eukaryota, Metazoa, Arthropoda, Insecta, Lepidoptera, Bombycidae.
UUAACUCAAAUGGGUAUGGAGCUGGAACGUUUGCCUACGUUUGCCGCUAGGGGCGCUGUUCCAACUGCAUACAAAUUUGUGUUA